CCUUUUAAAAUAAUUUUAUAAGAAUUGUCUUAAAGCCUCUUUAUUGAACACUGAACAGUUCAUGAUUAUUUCAACACAUUCCAAGACAAAUACUUUGCAUGCCAAGACAAAGCCGAUCCUACUGUAAUUCAAACAUGAGCUUAAUUAACCACAUGGUUUAUAGAUGCUGGCUACACUGAUAAUCACCACCAUGGUAUGUGCUCUACUCCCUCUGUGCUCCACCCGAGCCUUCAUCUCUGCCUCCGUUAUGGCAAGAAAGCAGAAUAUGCUGCUGCUGCCUACCAUAGAACAUUUGACGUGGACAGUAUUUUUUAGGGCAAGGGUAUUCCAUCUAGAUGUAAUGAGCCAAUUGUUAGGAUGUUUGGUAAGCAAUCUUCACGAUAUUGUAUGCAACAUGUACUAUUUCAAACAUUGAUGCAAUCUUAAAUUGUUCCAAGGCCAACAUGCCACCUAUGUAACUCUGCCUAUGCUGUCGAACAAGGGCAGCCAUAGUCAGUCUUAUGCCUAAAGCAUGCUAGUCGAGAAAGCCAUGCAGGUUGGUUAUGUACUCGGGUCCCUUCAUCACCUAGUUUACAUCCAUUCAGUCUGACGGGUCAUGCAACAAUGAUAUAGAGCACAACCACUAAAACUGUGGGCACUAGUGGACAUCCUGAUAAUGAUCGGCAAGUCGAAGGUGCAGAAUAGAAGGCUCCGUGGGAAUCCCAUGAAAACCACAUGUAUCAACAGUGGCGGACCCAGGAUUUAGUCACGACUAGGGCCAACUUUCAAAGGCGAAAUACCAAUCGCUACACCUAUGACUAUAUGUCUGUGUAUGUGUGUUAUAUUUGGUCG
RNAcentral lists this long non-coding RNA (831 nucleotides) under Sorghum bicolor (sorghum). RNAcentral describes it as "long non-coding RNA (SBIC_LNC014928)". Lineage: Eukaryota; Viridiplantae; Streptophyta; Magnoliopsida; Poales; Poaceae. The record is from RNAcentral.